AACUAAUGAAAUUAAGAGAUGAAGAAAAACUCUGUCGAGGAAUCUCAAAUCUCUAAGCUUCAAUCCCCGCCUUAUGUGCUCUCCAAUGAUAUCUCCAAGUCUCUAAUAGAAGUGUCUCCCAAUGUUGUCAGUCGGAAGAUCCCUUAAAACAAUCCAAAAAAUAUAUAUAUAGUCCCUAACAAAUCCUAUUACAUAAAUUAAAAAUCCUUAAUUGAGUUAACUUUAGCCAUUAAGGAAACAAAUCUGCGUAGAUCCCGUCAGACUGGCGCGACCCACGCCAGUUUCCUUCCUUGAUUGGUGCACCCUGUACUUGGCAUGCAGUCCCUUUCUCCAGCCUGGCGCGGCCCGCGCCAUCUCUAGGGAAACUUCGGCACCCCCCGUGCUUGACUAUCAGAUCAUCCAAUUUCUCCAUGCUUUUCUCCCUUUUUCAUCCUUUUUGCCCCGUCAUGCUCCUUUCACUACAAAUAAAAACAAAACAAUAAAAUGUAAAAUGUACUCCUCAAGAAUUAACAAAUACUAAGCUAAAAAGUACCGACUAAGUAGGUUUUAACCCACUUAUCAAAUACCCCCAAACUUAAGUACUUGCUUGUCCUCAAGCAAUUUAACAUAACUACUCUAACACAAAC
RNAcentral lists this long non-coding RNA (626 nucleotides) under Panax ginseng (ginseng). Its description in RNAcentral is "long non-coding RNA (PGIN_LNC001745)". Lineage: Eukaryota; Viridiplantae; Streptophyta; Magnoliopsida; Apiales; Araliaceae. The record is from RNAcentral.